GACGAACGCUGGCGGCGUGCUUAACACAUGCAAGUCGAGCGGUAAGGCCCUUUCGGGGGUACACGAGCGGCGAACGGGUGAGUAACACGUGGGUGACCUGCCCUCAGCUCUGGGAUAAGCCUGGGAAACCGGGUCUAAUACUGGAUAUGACUCCAUGACGCAUGUUGUGGGGUGGAAAGCCUUGUGCGGCUGAGGAUGGGCCCGCGGCCUAUCAGCUUGUUGGGGGGUGAUGGCCUACCAAGGCGACGACGGGUAGCCGGCCUGAGAGGGCGACCGGCCACACUGGGACUGAGACACGG
This 299-nucleotide ribosomal RNA is filed under the name uncultured bacterium. RNAcentral's name for it is "partial 16S ribosomal RNA". It matches the Rfam family "Bacterial small subunit ribosomal RNA", at positions 28 to 329 of the family's 1533-position model. The record is from RNAcentral.